Long non-coding RNA from Felis catus (domestic cat), 2940 nucleotides. RefSeq lists it as uncharacterized. The record is from RefSeq and is a predicted model, not a curated record. The transcript has 2 exons. Lineage: Eukaryota; Metazoa; Chordata; Mammalia; Carnivora; Felidae.
CUCCCUCUCUCUCUGCCCCUCCCCCACUCAUGCUCUGUCUCUGUCUCAGAAAUAAACAUUAAAAAAAAAGAAGUAAUAUUCCCAAAUAAACUGUAAUUACAUAAUAUCAAAAGUCCUAAUCAGACAGUAAAAAUGGCAAAGAUAAUUUCAACCAAAUUAGAGGCUGUUCUCUCAUGUUCAUUGUCAAGGGAUAGCCUAUUUUAUUUUAUUCCUGAGGGUAAAGAGAUGAGACUAAUGUGGGCUUUUAUAUUUGAUGGAGAAAAUGGAAAGAAGGGGGCAUCGUUGAAAGAGAGAGGUGAUUAUUUAAAAACAAGGCAGUAUACUCUCUGGAUAAGUUUUUUGUUCUAUUAAAACUUUUCUUUGCGCUUCCUCUGGGAAUAGGUAUACAAAUAUCUGUUUGAAUUCCUGUGGAGUCUUGAUAAGUAUCACGGGGUUAUUCUUAAUUAUCUGUGUGAAGAACAUAGUAAUGCAUUUCUGAAGCAGAAAAGACAUAGGAAUAAAAAAAAUACUUCAAAUAAUUCUCAAUUUCUAUUUAGCAAGAUCUGAUAUGAGCAGGAAUAAUUAGAGUGAUAAAGUCUAACCGGCACUAGUAAAUUUGACUAAAAGCCAAGAGCAGCACAGCCAGGACAUUUAUGUUCAUGUUUAAAUUACUCAAGUGCUUAAUUGUUUAAUUUCAGUUUCAAUUACCAAAUGCCCUUACUUUUAAAAUUAGUCCUUUGAGUAUUAGCUGCAUGAUGUUGUUAUUAAAGUUGAAAAUCUGCUAUUAUGGUUUAGAGGAUUAUUAUGAAGUUGUUGGCAUAUGUCUUGUUUAAUAAAUAAGUUUAAUUGUGCAUGUAAUCUGGUAAUGUAAUAAUGAUGAAUUACAUUUUACAGAAAUGUAGAAUGACUAUUUUCUUCUUAGGGUAAAACAAAAUUACUUUUUAGGAUUUAUUUUCCAGAGGAAAUAUUUUACUAUAAAAAAUACCUAAGAUACCUCUUGCACAGUGUAAUUUCCCAUAAAGGGUGAGUGAGACUUAAUGGAGAUUUAAUACUAACGCCCCCCCCCCCCCAUAUAAAAGAGGUUAAGUGUAGGGAAAGGGGGUCCAACUAACAGGGGAAUGAUGUUUAUACCUUUAAUGAGUUCUUGGUUCAUCUUACCCCUAGAAUGUCAAGAAUAUGACAAAGUAGCCCAUAUAGUAAAUUAGUGUAUUUUUAUUUCAUGAGGCACCUUCCCGUUUAGAUAUGAACUUGAAGCUGCUAUUAAUGAUAAUGAGCUUCACUAGUCAAGAAAAUCCCUUGAGCUCAUCCUCAAUUACAGUACCUUGGGCAAAACCAUUGGAUUGGCAUUAUAUUGUUCAUGCUUUCAUCAGUUCUAGUUGUCUCUGUUGAAUUCUAGGGAGGAAAAACAAAUUGUUUUAGACCCGUAUCUCAGAAUAAGAAAUUUAAAAUUUUAGAAUUUUAGAAUUCAAGCAUAUACUCUUUCCUAGAUGAUAUUGGGCUCUCAGUUGAUUCUUAGAUGAAGUCUUUGCAUCAAGAAGGGUUGCUUAGGAGCGCCUGGGUGCCUCAGUCAGUUAAGUGUCUGACUUCGGCUCAGGUCAUGGUCUCACAAUUUGCGAGUUUGAGCCCCCCAUCAGGCUCUGUGCUGAUAGCUCAGAGCCUGGACCCUGCUUCGGAUUCUGUGUCUCCCUCUAUCUCUGGUCCUCCCCUGCUUGCACUCUGUCUCUGUCUCUCUCAAAAAUAAAUAAAUUAAAAAGAAAAAAAAAGAGAAGAGUUGCUUAAUUGACGUCUGCCUUCCUGUGAUUGGUGAAGAAAUGGAGGGACAAAAUGUUUCUUCAUCUUUUGUAUAAAAUCACAUAACUAAUGGCAGAGAAUGGACUAAAAUCCAGCUCCAAUAAUUAAAAAUUCAACUGAUAGAUUACCUAAUUUGUUUCUACAUAUUGAGAGGAGAUUGAAUGUUUUCAGAAAAUAAGGUUAUGAUGGGUCUGUAGAAUACUAAGCAACUAAAAAAUAAGAUAAUUAUUAUCUUCGGAAAAACAAGUUGUACUAGAAAAGAAAUUACACCAUGAGAUUCAGCUGUAAACAGUAUUUAUGUGAUCAUGCUACUUUAAACACUGAUUACUGAUUUAACACAAAAAGUGAUAGAACUGUUGGCAAGAUGGGGUAAGUGGAGUUGUGUAGGGCGUGAGGGGGGUGGGGGUAGUGGUUUGUAGUCUGUUGGCAAGGAGUCUGAUUUAGGUGGGCCAAUGUUUGUAAAACAGGUCUGUAAUGAACAGUGGAAAAAGAGAUUACAUUCUUGAGGAAGCUCAAGAAAAACUGCUCAUAACCAGCUGUGGCAGCACUGUUGCCACCCCCACCCAUAUUCUAUCAGCCCACCUGGAUUUGCCACAGCUGCAGUCAGUCCUGUACACGUGGAGCUUCUCACCUUAAUAUCUGCCAUCCAAGGGCUUGCUCUGGCUUUGCUGGUGUUGGGCUGGGCACAGGUGCAGGUUGUAAGAGUGGAGUCGGUUCUGUGCUCACUCAUCAGCCAAUGAGGGAUGGGUAUCGGUAGAUAAAUACCCCGCUUCCGCGUGUUCGGGUUUGUAGGUUUUGAGGUAUCUGCUCUGGAGCUGUUUAGAUGGUUCUGUCAGGACGGUUCUGCGGGUGUUCAUCAGUAUACAAGACUAAACAUAACAAUUAGUUGGAAAAUGGUGAUUGCAGAAAUCCUACAUACCAAAACAAAAGAUGCAUCUGAAUAUGAAGGGGAAGAUAAAAAUGAAGCCAGAGGCAAAAGCUAUUGACGUUGUGGCCAGAAAAAUGUCUCUUGGCAAGUAAACUGGAUCACAGCCUGAGUUGUCAGCAGUCAGUAAUACGGUGUCAAGAUGAUGGAGGAACUACACUGAACAACAGUAUUCUGUUGUUAAAUUUCAUUAGAUGAGUAUUUACAUUUUAAGGUGAAAUAAAAUGUUAAAUGGAUUUAUUAAA